This 420-nucleotide ribosomal RNA is filed under the name bacterium. RNAcentral describes it as "partial 16S ribosomal RNA". It matches the Rfam family "Bacterial small subunit ribosomal RNA", at positions 355 to 776 of the family's 1533-position model. The record is from RNAcentral.
UGGGGGAUAUUGCACAAUGGGCGAAAGCCUGAUGCAGCGACGCCGCGUGGGGGAUGAAGGCUUUCGGGUUGUAAACCUCUUUCGCUAUCGAACAAGGCCCGCUUAGGGUGGGUUGAGGGUAGGUGGAGAAGAAGCGCCGGCUAACUACGUGCCAGCAGCCGCGGUAAUACGUAGGGCGCGAGUGUUGUCCGGUAUUAUUGGGCGUAAAGGGCUUGUAGGCUGCUUGUUUCGCCUGCCGUGAAAACGCGGGGCUUAACUUCGCGCGUGCAGUGGGUACGGGCAGGCUUGAGUGUGAUAGGGGUGACUGGAAUUCCAGGUGUAGCGGUGGAAUGCGCAGAUAUCUGGAGGAGCACCGAUGGCGAAGGCAGGUCACUGGGCCAUUACUGACGCUGAGGAGCGAGAGCAUGGGUAGCGAACAGG